GUGGAAAGUAACAAAGUACAAAUACUUCAAGACAAAAGAGUGUGAGACAAACUUCACUCAGAGAUGAAGGGAGGUGUAGGAUGACAGAGAGGCCACGAGAGAAAGAAGAGAGGUUAGAUUAAAAGGUCAACUAAUGGCUGAAGUCAUGAGUUGAGUUUUGAUACUUAAAGUAUUAAGGUUUGACUCUGCUGAGAUUUCCCUUAUAUACUUGGGUAAGUUUAAUUUUUAUUUUAUUUUUGGGGGGUUAGUAUAUUCAGGUAACUUAGACUACAUAGGGCAAGAGACAAAUUAAGCUCAUUCUAUUAUUUUCCUAAUGCAUAUGCAUAUCACAAAACUGCUGCUACUGUGAAGGAUUUUCACCAUGGUAAGGAUGUUGUGAAAACCUGCUGUUGUGACAGGCCUAAUGUCCAUCACACAUCUUCAAGAGAAAAUUGAAACCACCCUUGCACUUGCCUCUGUAACUGGACAGAAUUCCCUUUUUGGCUUAUGAUGUGACUGUUAAAGGUUUAUAGUUUCCUCUUUGUAUUGGGCGGGUCAUGGCUGUUAGUUUUACGAAGGGAAAAUGUCCUUAGAAAAUGUGUGCAGUGGCCACGGGUUUUUCUCUUGUUAAGGCCGCAUACUUAAUUUAGUUUUUCUACAGGUAUCCUAAGACAGUACUCAGUAGUAAGAGACAAGACAAUAGGUGCAGUUUACUGGCUUAUGGUUAACAGGAAGAAUUUUCCGUGUUUCUGUCCUGUGUGCAGAUUCUUGCCUUGCAUCUGCC
Long non-coding RNA from Oreochromis aureus, 763 nucleotides. The record is from Ensembl. Lineage: Eukaryota; Metazoa; Chordata; Actinopteri; Cichliformes; Cichlidae.